RNAcentral lists this transfer RNA (74 nucleotides) under Quadrisphaera granulorum. It matches the Rfam family "tRNA". Rfam says of the family: Transfer RNA (tRNA) molecules are approximately 80 nucleotides in length. Their secondary structure includes four short double-helical elements and three loops (D, anti-codon, and T loops). Further hydrogen bonds mediate the characteristic L-shaped molecular structure. tRNAs have two regions of fundamental functional importance: the anti-codon, which is responsible for specific mRNA codon recognition, and the 3' end, to which the tRNAs corresponding amino acid is attached (by aminoacyl-tRNA synthetases). tRNAs cope with the degeneracy of the genetic code in two manners: having more than one tRNA (with a specific anti-codon) for a particular amino acid; and 'wobble' base-pairing, i.e. permitting non-standard base-pairing at the 3rd anti-codon position. Lineage: Bacteria; Bacillati; Actinomycetota; Actinomycetes; Kineosporiales; Kineosporiaceae. The record is from Rfam by way of RNAcentral.
CGGGGUGUGGCGCAGUCAGGUAGCGCGUCCGCUUUGGGAGCGGAAGGCCCCCGGUUCGAAUCCGGGUACCCCGA